GGCCGCCACUAUUAUACUCGAUAUGACUAUGAGAAUGUUGAUGCAAGUGCAGCAAAGGAACUAAUGGCACACUUGGUUAAGCUGCAGCCUUCCCUUGGUGAAGUUAACGAGAUUGCGAAGGGGAUAAGAACAGAUGUGUCAAAAGUGGUCCAUGCUGAUGAAUUUGAAUACAAAGACCCUGUUGAUGGUUCGAUCUCAAGGCACCAGGGUAUUCGAUAUUUGUUUGAGGAUGG
Molecule: unclassified non-coding RNA, 233 nt
Filed under: Hevea brasiliensis (rubber tree)
Lineage: Eukaryota; Viridiplantae; Streptophyta; Magnoliopsida; Malpighiales; Euphorbiaceae
Source: RNAcentral